RNAcentral lists this small nucleolar RNA (70 nucleotides) under Carlito syrichta (Philippine tarsier). RNAcentral describes it as "Small nucleolar RNA SNORD63 (ENSTSYG00000020379.2)". It matches the Rfam family "Small nucleolar RNA SNORD63". From Rfam's summary of the family: snoRNA U63 is found in both humans and mice. The record is from Rfam by way of RNAcentral. Lineage: Eukaryota; Metazoa; Chordata; Mammalia; Primates; Tarsiidae.
GUGCAAUGAUGCAUUUUAUUCACAAACACAUCAUUCUGAGAGAACGUGUGGAAACUCAUGACUGAGCACA